RNAcentral lists this long non-coding RNA (1205 nucleotides) under Erythranthe guttata (spotted monkey flower). RNAcentral describes it as "long non-coding RNA (EGUT_LNC001547)". The record is from RNAcentral. Lineage: Eukaryota; Viridiplantae; Streptophyta; Magnoliopsida; Lamiales; Phrymaceae.
UCGAAGAACUAACCAAGCGGGUUAUGCCGAAUCGUAGAAGAAACAGCAGCUCCAGCAGCUGAAGCCUCUGAAACUUCUGCCUUGUUGCUAUUGUUAUUACCUACUUCAAAGAGGAAACACAAUAAUGAGAAGCUAAUCUUGAUUUCUUGAUAGUUUGUCGAUAUGUAUAUAUUUAGGUGGAUACAACUUGCUGGAACUUUGUUCAAUAAUCAUUAACAGAUGCAAAAUCAUUAAAUCAAACUAAUAGGUAAAAAAGAAGGAGAAUAAAUUAAAUGCAAGAACUCCCCACAGCUGAUGCCGUCUAGCUAAGAAUUAAGCCUUUUCUUCAACAUUCGUAGAAACAUAUUUAGUUCACAGGCUUUCAGUUUUUAGCAGUCUCUUCUCAUCUUUAAAGCCCAUGAAUUGUACAGGAUAUACGUUCUUUAGUCCUGAGAAAUGAACUAAUAUAAUAAUAGAACAGUAGAACAUACACAACUUGUUGUGACCAUAUAAUUGAAACAGAAAACUUAAAAUGCAAAUGGGAUAAUCAUACAAUAAGAUUCAAUUACAAGGGAAGCAAGAAGAGGCUGUAGCUACAAAAUUAUUGAAUAAAUUUUGCUGUACAUUGAAUUUAAAUGGUUUAUCGGAAUAGCCAAGCAAAAAAUUCACAUUAAAGAGAGGAGAGAAAGUUAUUACCUUUGUUUAGCAUAGGGGCUCGGGGGACAACAAGAAUAAGAGGAAAAUUACAUAAAAGAAAGAAGAGAAACUUGUUGCUUUUCUUUAGCAUAGAGAAUCAGCGCACAAUAAGGAGAGUUAAAACGGUCGAAUACAAUUGAAAUUGAGAAGCAGCAAAACACAAACAGUAGUCAAGUAAUGCAUUGAACUUGAAAAAAGCUCACCAUUUAAACGUUCGAACAAAAUUUUCGUAAGCACGUGCCUCCUUCUCCUUCUUGUCGUUGUUGCUAGUGAGUGCUGAAGGGAGUCAAAACACUCGAAAUAGGCACAUAAAACUAUAUGUCAGUGACACCUUCUCUUUUGUUGCUGUUCAUUUUAAAGAACGGUGUAUCUACCUUUGCAUUCUCGAGUUUUUGUAUCGAUCCAUACUAUCAUUCUCCGAAUAUUAUUCCAAAAUCAUCGAGGUUAGAUGAAGAACAUGUUGAUUCCACCUAGUUUCAGACUUUUCCCAUUUGGAAUUGUUUUAUGGAAAAGAUUUAAACAAUUGAGCG